Molecule: RNA transcript, 1457 nt
Organism: Drosophila sulfurigaster albostrigata
Lineage: Eukaryota; Metazoa; Arthropoda; Insecta; Diptera; Drosophilidae
Exons: 4
Source: RefSeq, a predicted model, not a curated record
GUAUCUUCUGAUGAUUUCAUUUGUCACUAUCUCAUGAUACUAAGCAAUAAUACGCUCUGACACCAGUCUACGUAGAGCUCUCAUUCAGGUUGGCUGCUUCUCAAUACUGUCAGCUAAAGUUAAAGUUAAAAGUGAACUAUUAAUUAAUAAACAGAAACUCACCGAAAACAAUUUAUUGUUAUCGAUAAUGGCUGAAGACUCUUGUAACAUCAAGAUGUGGGCAGGCUUAAUAGCCCGAAUUAAUGCGUGCUACUCGAUAAUCUACUUGGGAAUAGAAAUCAUCAAUGCGUCGGAUCAUUACAUAGGCGUCGGAAUGUUGGCAAUAUGGUUUGGACUCUACUCCUUCAAUAUAUUGAUAAACUUAUUCUUUGCGGGAAGAAGCAGCAAAUGGGAGAAGUUUGAUGUAGUCUUUUGGUUUUGUUCCACGUUAAUUUUGUUAAUCAUUCGACUUGUGUGCACUGAUUACCGCAAUUUGAGUAUUGGAUUCUUGGUAUUCGCAAUAUUUGUAAAUAUUUAUAUGGUAUUUUCACUCAUAAUAAUAUCAUUAUUGGGUUACCAAGUGGACAAUCCAAAUGCGGACAUUAGGAGCUGCUUAAGUUGCGACCAAGUUAAUAAUAGAAUAAUAAGUGUGGCGACUGAUGCUGCAGAAGAAACAAAUGAUGAAGGUCUAUCGCAUAAUCUUCGCUCUACUAUAGACUCAUAUCGUACCGACUUAAGCUCUAGCAACUUAAAUAAUGAUUCUCGGAUUGCUUUUGGGACAGCACCAACUUUUAAUGACAUAAACAACGAUUCCCAAAAUGAUAAUGCUACAGCCCCAGAUUUCAGUGACUUAAACAAUGAUUCUCAAAUUAUGGCCAGAUCGGCUGAUGCUAAUGUCAAUGAUCCUCCUCCAAGCUACGAUUAUGUUAUGACUCAUGGGAAGAAAAAAUUCUAAAAAUGUAUUAUGUAAUAUAAUGUCCUGAUAUCACAGCAAUUGAUUUUGUAAUUCAAAUAUGAAACUAGUAUUCAAUAGGUCACGGAUAAUACCGAACAUAGGAACGAAAGCAGCAAUCAACAUAUUUAUAAAAAAAAAUUAACCAUUUUGAUAUGCAUGACUAUAAAAAUCUAUAAUGUCACGGUGAUAAAAAUUUAAUUUUAAUGCUCGCAGUUAUCAAUAAGCUGUUGAUACAGAUGAUACAAAACCAAUGCGCUUUGUGUCAAUACUCUAGUACUACCUCAAUCUCAGGUGUAAUUAACUUCAAGAUGAACAAAUAUAAUUUGCGACUAAACUGACAGCCACUCUACGUAUGAGUGUAUUAACUUAUCUCAGGAAAAACUUUAGAUGUGAUGUUAAAACGAAAAUAAGGUUGAAAUUUGUAAUAUACCACUAAUUACUUUAUAACAUUGUAAAAUAUAUUUUAAAAAUAAAUGUAAAUAUAGAAAUUUUAUUAAAUUUAAAUAAUGUUUGGUAAGGGUGU